This 3285-nucleotide long non-coding RNA is filed under the name Homo sapiens (human). Its description in RNAcentral is "non-protein coding LINC02188:14". Lineage: Eukaryota; Metazoa; Chordata; Mammalia; Primates; Hominidae. The record is from RNAcentral.
CACCGUUCCCGGGACGGGGAAGAGGAGGUUCACAUUUCACUCCUGGAAGGAGAAAAUGGAAAAUGUUCUACCGGGAGGCACGAAUCACUCUGGCACAUGCGGUGGUAGCUGCAGCAGGAACGAAUUCAGCCCAUGACAUUUGAGUAGAUUGCUGGUGAGACAGCAGCCACUGCUCCCAGGCCCGACAACAGGGGCAGCACCAAAGCUGGUCAGUGUUUCCUCCUUACAGGUCUGAAGGUGCUGCAGAGGAGGGUGCUUCCCAGAGAUCACCCCUGUGACAGACAGAUCGAUUGAAGGACCCCUGAAUGGCUGAAUUGAGAAGAACAAGCAUAUUAGGAGGCCAUACAAUGGGAGCCUCUCAGGCAGACAGACAAAGCCGUGGAAACUGCAGACUUAUUUGUAUGUUCUGGUAAACACCUUUGCUUCAUUUUCCCCGUCUCCGCCUGGACUGAGGGUCACCUCACCUCUCCUGGUGUCCAGAGCCUCCUUCAGGACAGAUGUUGCAAACCUGAGUUCUCACAAACAGCGGGGUCCAGCCCUUCUCAACACUGGAAAGCCCUUGAGCCAUCUUUGAUUUGUGUGUUUUGAUCUAAUUGCACUACUGCUUGCAAUGCUUGUUUUUAGCGGUGAGUGCUGGUUUAAUUUGUUUCUUUCUGGUCUCCCAGCCCCACUCCAGAAUUUUGGCUCCUGGAGAGGAGGGGCCCUGAACUGGCAUUUUCAGUGAAGCAUCCCAGUGCCUUGAAUCCAGUAAGCAGCCAGGUGUCUGUUGGCUUCAUGGUUUAACAACCUACCAUUUGAAGAAUCGCAGAGAUGAAUUAAAAAGAGCCCCGGAGAGGCUCCCCGAUCCAGUUGCACUUCCUGCUUAAGCAAAGUAAAGAAAAACAGGAAUGAAAACAUAACCCAAUGGGUUAGUUCCAUGCUGGCCAUUGAUGAGGUUGCAGCCACCAUCAGAAGAAGGCCAAACGGUUAGAAAGACACGGCGGUGAGGAAGAUGAGCCUCAUUAUCGACUGUCACCUGCAGCCCUGCACAGGUGCUCAGAAUCUAACACUUGAUGGCUGGUUGAGAUUCCCGGAGUCCUAAUUAGGAAUGAGGAGUCAGGCUGGCAGGACCCAGGGAAAGCAAAAAGAGAAGGCAGAGAAGCUCCAAGUCUGCCUGUCUUCGUGAUCCAGAACACGUAGUCCUGCUGCACAAGUAACUCACAAUCUUCCUGUGUCCAGCUGUCAUUAGACCCUUGGCUGAUAGAAAAAUGCAAGUUAGCACACUGCAGCCUCGGUGUCGUCAGUACUGCACGUCACUCUCUCCAGCACACCGCGGCCUCGGCGUCAUCAGCACUGCACGUCGCUCUCUCCAGCACACCGCGGCCUCGGCGUCGUCAGCACUGCACGUCGCUCUCUCCAGCACACCGCGGCCUCAGCGUCAUCAGCACUGCACGUCGCUCUCUCCAGCACACCGCGGCCUCGGCGUCGUCAGCACUGCACGUCGCUCUCUCCAGCACACCGCGGCCUCGGUGUUGUCAGUACUGCACGUCGCUCUCUCCAGCACACAGCACAAGCACCAUCCUAUCAAGUCCCCAGCAAGCCUUUGUCUCCUUGCAGUCAGCUCCUCUCUUGCUGGCCUGCCUGUUGCCUCCUUGCUGUGUAUUUUCCUACUUUCUCUAAUUUGCCUUUUUUUUUUAUUUUUGAGAUGAAAUUUUGCCUCAGCCUCCCAAGUAGCUGGGACUACAGGUGCGUUUCACCACGUCCAUCUAAUUUUUGUAUUUUUCGUAGAGACGGGUUUUCACCAUGUUGGCCAGGAUGGCCUUACCUCAAGGACCUCCUGAUCCGCCUGCCUCGGCCUCCCAAAGUGUUGGGAUUACAGGCAUGAGCCACUGCACCUGGCCUAAAUCUGCCUUUCUUAACCUACAAUUGUCUUUACCCUGAGCCGCUGGCCCCAGAUAGUCGCUGCUCACCCAUGACAAUAUUUCACCACUGAGAUCAUUUAUCCUCAAAAAAAUGAGUAGAAUGGCCACGGAAUUGUGUGCAAAGAAUGAAGGAGCAAAACAGUCUUGGAGUCUUAGGAGCAAAACAUCUGCAUUACUAAUAUCCUCCCAAGUCCACCAAGCCUCAGCUAGGAACGGUUCCCCACUUGUGAAGUGUCUGAUAAGUUCUAGUUUCCUUCCUUCCUUUCUUCCUUCCUUCCUUCCUCUCUCUCUUCUUUCUUUCUCUUUCUCUCUUUCUUUUCUUUCUCUUUACCUUUCUUUCUUUCCUUUCUUUCUAUCUUUCUUCUCUCAAUCUUUCUUUCUCUCUCUCUCUUUUUGACAGUCUCACUCUGUUGUUCAGGCUGGAGUACAGUGGCACAAUCUCAGCUCACUGCAACCUCUGCGUCCCAGGUUCAAGCAAUUCUCCUGCCUCAGCCUCCUGAGUAGCUGGGAUUACAGGCUCUCGCCACUACAUCCAGCUGAUUUUUGUAUUUUUAGUAGAGGUGGGGGUUUCCCCAAGUUGGCCAGGCUGGUCUCGAACUCCUGACCUCAGGUAAUCCGCCCACCUCAGCCUCCCAAAGUGCUUGGAUUACAAGCGUGGACCACCACACCUGGCUCAUUGAUUCAUUUAUUCAUCUGAUAGGUAUUUAUUGAACAUAAAGUGCCACAGACCGGGUGGCUUAAAUGACAGAGAUUUAUUUUCUAACAGUUCUGGAAGCCGGAAGUCUGAGAUCAAGGUGCCGGCAGGACUGCUUCCUCCAAGCCCUCUCUUUUUGGCUUGUAAGAGCUGUCUUCUCUCUGUGUCCUCACAAGGUCGCCCUCCGUGCGUGUCUGUGUCCUCAUCUCCUCUUAUUACGGAGACACCAGUCCUACUGGAUUAGCUCCCAUGCUGGUGACCUCAUUCUACCUUAAUUACCUCCAUAAAUGCCCUAUCUCCAAACACAGUCACAUUAUGACAUCCUGGGGGUUGGACUUCGACGUGUGAGUUUGGGGGGAUGCAACCCAGCCCACAAUAAACAGCAAAUACGAUUAGAGCUUCUCACAGAUACAAAGCCAUUGUCGUGCAGCUCAUGCCCUCCUCGGGGGAAGAAGCCAGUAAGUCACAGAGAUCAGUAACGCAGGUGGGGACGAAGGUGUAGAGGAGAGCCAGGCACGGAGGCCUGUUGGAGUGCGGGUGCUUUGCAAUUUUAGAAGCCGAGGUCUAGGGGAGGCCGGACUUGAAAGACGACGUCUGGGCCAAGUGCAGAGAAAGGUGGCGGAUGAGCUGGAAGGAAGCCUGGGAGAAGGCACUUUGGGCGUAGGGUUUUGAGACACAGCUGUGUUUUGC